RNAcentral lists this ribosomal RNA (1014 nucleotides) under uncultured fungus. RNAcentral's name for it is "eukaryotic LSU rRNA". The stretch from base 411 to 1014 matches the Rfam family "Eukaryotic large subunit ribosomal RNA", at positions 1 to 584 of the family's 3401-position model. Lineage: Eukaryota; Fungi. The record is from RNAcentral.
UAUUUACAACUUUCAGCAAUGGAUCUCUUGGUUCUCGCAUCGAUGAAGAACGCAGUGAAAUGCGAUAACUGGUGUGAAUUGCAUCCAUGUAACUCUAAUUUACGAAUAACACCAAGUGAAUCAUCGAGUCUUUGAACGCAAUUGCGCCCUCUCGGUCGCUUCCAAUUGGGGGUUGACUCAUAGGGGGUACAUCUGUUUGAGGGUCAUUUGUACCUCUCAAAGGAUUGGCUUUAGAGCUAAUUCUUUGGAUUUGGGUCUUGCUGUGGAGUUCUCUCAGCUUACCUUGAAAGCAUUAGCGAGCUUUCUCUGAGUCUUUUUUUCAGAUUGAGGCGUUCUUAACGCGUUUACGUCUCAAAAGAAAGAAAGAACAGAGUCCUAAAGCCUGCUUCUAAUGGCCUCAUUUUUUUCAAUGACCUCAAAUCAGAUGAGACUACCCGCUGAACUUAAGCAUAUCAAUAAGCGGAGGAAAAGAAACUAACAAGGAUUCCCUCAGUAACGGCGAGUGAAGAGGGAAGAGCUCAGUUUUGAAAUCUGGCAGUCAUUCACUGUCCGAGUUGUAAAUUGAAGAGAGUGUCAUCCACACUGGACCAUGUCUAAAUUGUAAUGAUCCACAGUCCUUUGAUGGAGUAUCAGAGAGGGUAAUAAUCCCGUCUUUAACGUGGACUCCCAGUGUUUAUGUGAUGCAUUCUCUCAGAGUCGAGUAGUUUGGGAAUGCUGCUCUAAUGGGAGGUAAACUCCUUCUAAAGCUAAAUAUUGGCGAGAGUCCGAUAGCGAACAAGUACCGUGAGGGAAAGAUGAAAAGAACUCUGAAAAGAGAGUCAAACAGAACGUGAAAUUGCUGAAAGGGGAGCGUUUGGAGUCAGAUGCGUCUUCAUGGAAUAACGACUCAGUUAGCAGAGACUGAGGUCAGUGACUUGAAGAUGGGCCAGCACUCACGUAGACCAUUGAAAAAGGGGUCAUUGGAAUGUAGCUCAAUUUAUUGAGUGAUUAUAGCCUUGAUUCAUAUACAAUGUG